Molecule: ribosomal RNA, 332 nt
Filed under: uncultured bacterium
Lineage: Bacteria
Description: bacterial SSU rRNA
Rfam family: Bacterial small subunit ribosomal RNA
Source: RNAcentral
CGUGUAGGCGGCCUCUUAAGUCUGAUGUGAAAGCCCGGGGCUUACCCCCGGAAGUGCAUUGGAAACUGGGAGACUGGAGUACCGGAGAGGAAGGUGGAAUUCCUGGUGUAGCGGUGAAAUGCGUAGAUAUCAGGAGGAACACCGGUGGCGAAGGCGGCCUUCUGGACGGAUACUGACGCUGAGACGCGAAAGCGUGGGGAGCAAACAGGAUUAGAUACCCUGGUAGUCCACGCUGUAAACGAUGGGCACUAGGUGUUCGGGGUAUUGACCCCCUGAGUGCCGCAGCUAACGCAUUAAGUGCCCCGCCUGGGGACUACGGCCGCAAGGUUAAA